GACGAACGCUGGCGGCGUGCUUAAUACAUGCAAGUCGAACGAGGUCGACCUUCGGGUCACAUGGCCUAGUGGCGAACGGGUGAGUAACACGUGAGAAACCUACCCCAAAGUUCGGGAUAACUCAGGGAAACUUGAGCUAAUACCGAAUACCUUUUUUGAAUCGAGUGGUUCUUUAAAGAAAGAUUUAUCGUUUUGGGAGGGUCUCGCGGCCUAUCAGCUUGAUGGUGAGGUAACGGCUCACCAUGGCAAUGACGGGUAGCUGGUCUGAGAGGACGAUCAGCCACACUGGGACUGAGACACGGCCCAGACUCCUACGGGAGGCAGCAGUAGGGAAUCUUGCGCAAUGGGCGAAAGCCUGACGCAGCGACGCCGCGUGGGGGAUGAAGGCCUUAGGGUCGUAAACCCCUUUCGGUAGGGACGAAAAUGACGGUACCUACAGAAGAAGCCCCGGCCAACUACG
This 460-nucleotide ribosomal RNA is filed under the name uncultured Acidimicrobiales bacterium. RNAcentral's name for it is "bacterial SSU rRNA". It matches the Rfam family "Bacterial small subunit ribosomal RNA", at positions 28 to 505 of the family's 1533-position model. The record is from RNAcentral. Lineage: Bacteria; Bacillati; Actinomycetota; Acidimicrobiia; Acidimicrobiales.